CCUACGGGAGGCAGCAGUGGGGAAUAUUGCGCAAUGGGCGAAAGCCUGACGCAGCGACGCCGCGUGAGGGAUGAAGGUCUUCGGAUCGUAAACCUCUGUCAGCAGGGAAGAACGGUCACUGUGCUAAUCAGCAGUGAAUUGACGGUACCUGCAAAGGAAGCACCGGCUAACUCCGUGCCAGCAGCCGCGGUAAUACGGAGGGUGCGAGCGUUAAUCGGAAUUACUGGGCGUAAAGCGCUCGUAGGCGGUAUGUCAAGUCAAGGGUGAAAUCCCCGCGCUCAACGUGGGAACUGCAUUUGAAACUGGCAGACUGGAGUGUGUGAGAGGAGAGUGGAAUUCCAGGUGGAGGAGUGAAAUCCGUAGAUAUCUGGAGGAACAUCAGUGGCGAAGGCGACUAUCUGGCACAUAACUGACGCUGAGGAGCGAAAGCGUGGGUAGCAAACAGGAUUAGAUACCCGUGUAGUC
This 465-nucleotide ribosomal RNA is filed under the name uncultured bacterium. RNAcentral's name for it is "partial 16S ribosomal RNA". It matches the Rfam family "Bacterial small subunit ribosomal RNA", at positions 338 to 795 of the family's 1533-position model. The record is from RNAcentral.